This is a long non-coding RNA of Lynx canadensis (Canada lynx), 148 nucleotides long. RefSeq lists it as uncharacterized. NCBI's taxonomy places the organism in Eukaryota, Metazoa, Chordata, Mammalia, Carnivora, Felidae. The record is from RefSeq and is a predicted model, not a curated record. The transcript has 3 exons.
AGUUUCCCCAACACCAUUUGUUGAAGAGACGGUCUUUUCUCCAUUGCAUACUCUUGGCUCCUUUGUCGUAAAUUAAUUGACCGUAUAUGUGUGACUUUACUUCUGGGCCCUCUAUUCUGUUUCAUUGAUCUAUGUGUCUUUCCUUAUC